Molecule: ribosomal RNA, 600 nt
Filed under: uncultured bacterium
Lineage: Bacteria
Description: bacterial SSU rRNA
Rfam family: Bacterial small subunit ribosomal RNA
Source: RNAcentral
CGAACGAUUAAAGCUCUCUUCGGAGAGUGCAUAGAGUGGCGCACGGGUGAGUAACACGUAAGUAAUCUACCUUCGAGUGGGGAAUAACAGUCGGAAACGGCUGCUAAUACCGCAUAAUGCAGCGGCAUCGCAAGAUGACAGUUGUUAAAGAUUUAUCGCUUGAAGAGAAGCUUGCGGCAGAUUAGCUAGUUGGUAAGGUAAUGGCUUACCAAGGCUACGAUCUGUAACCGGUCUAAGAGGACGGUCGGUCACACUGACACUGAAUAACGGGUCAGACUCCUACGGGAGGCAGCAGUCGGGAAUUUUGGGCAAUGGGCGAAAGCCUGACCCAGCAACGCCGCGUGAAGGAUGAAGUAUUUCGGUAUGUAAACUUCGAAAGAAUAGGAAGAAUUAAUGACGGUACUAUUUAUAAGGUCCGGCUAACUACGUGCCAGCAGCCGCGGUAAUACGUAGGGACCAAGCGUUGUUCGGAUUUACUGGGCGUAAAGGGCGCGUAGGCGGCAUGACAAGUCACUUGUGAAAUCUCCGGGCUUAACUCGGAACGGCCAAGUGAUACUGUCACGCUAGAGUGCGGAAGGGGCAAUCAGAAUUCUUGGUGUA